GCUAGCGUUGCUUCAAAACAAAUUAAGUACGAUCGCCGUCUUAUAUCUGAAGUGAAUGUGAGUAAGGGCUCAAACCACCAAUGUUUGGCCACUUUGAUGUGAAACAAAACUACCGAAUUUGCCAUGUUAGGACACAUUGAGGGGCUUCAUAUAUAACUCAUGCUGAAACACGUGUUUGGAAUAUCUUUAUUGCGUCACAGUUCAGUAUUGUCGCUCUGAGCGAACAACACGCUGAAAUAUUCCUCAGCUAUUUUGCCAUUUACGACCUUCGGCGUGUAAACGGGCGAGGAAUUGUUUGUUUGAUAAUCUGGAAUUUUGUUGGUAACGAGUGUACCUAAUUGUUGACAGAUCCCUCGACGUCGACGACGUGUAUAAAAUACCGAGUUGCGGUUUCUAUAAAUCACUUGUUAACCGGACGUUUUCAACGCUCUUGAGAUUCAAGACAAUUACAUGCAGAUUGUUGCUUCAUAGCUUUUCAAAGACCAACAUCGCAGUCUCGUGCGUGUUCUUUCAACGUCCUACGCUCAUUUCGAAAUGGCAAGGGACAGCCGGACGGAGUUCUUGGAUAGGGAAAUGCGGCCACUGUCGGCGACUCCUGAAUUUGAAACCGAAGUACCACAGACUCAAAGAGCAAGUAAAAAAGUCUGCAGGAUCGUCCCUUUCCGCACUACGCUAGAAAGGGCAUUGGCAUUCGUGGCACUCAUUUUGUUACUUAUUUGCGCGGUAGUAAUCGCGCUUUUGGCCGUCCAAAAAGGGAAAGAAAAUGUUCGCGAGCCAGAUAAGAUCAGUAAG
Paramuricea clavata is the source of this 792-nucleotide non-coding RNA. NCBI's taxonomy places the organism in Eukaryota, Metazoa, Cnidaria, Anthozoa, Malacalcyonacea, Plexauridae. The record is from the annotation of a GenBank genome assembly.